This 805-nucleotide long non-coding RNA is filed under the name Olea europaea subsp. europaea. The record is from RNAcentral. Lineage: Eukaryota; Viridiplantae; Streptophyta; Magnoliopsida; Lamiales; Oleaceae.
GUUUUAUUGGCUUGCCCCAUUGAUAGCUGAUUUUUUUGUGAGGAGCAAGGAGGGGAAGAUCUUGGCUGCUAUUACAACUACUAUUUAUAUCAACAAUGGCUUCUGCAGGUAUGAAUUCGUUUCAAUUAAUUUAUUGGAUUGUGAUUAUCGAUUCUUAACAUGAUUAAAACUAAAGAUUAACAAUUGGUAUCAGAGCCUUUAUGUUAAGAUCGAAAUCCUUCAUGAAUUUUUGUUGUUUUUUUUUAUAUCACGUGGAAAAAUGUUUUCUGUUAAUACAUUUUUGUUUGGGCAUAUAUGUAUAAUGUAUAAUUCAUUAUAUAAACAUAUGUAAAGAAAUCCAAAUCCAAACACGUAGGAGGGAGUCCAUUUAUUUAAUACAAAAAAUAUUGUACAAAAUUUUCCACCCUCCAUCCGUUUCCACUUUUACCCAAGUCGGCUAAAUCACCUAUUUGUUUGAAACCUAACCUCAGACAACCCUCCUUUUCCCCUCCACAUGCACACACGCAAAUACACAAUUAAUUAAUCCAACACCACCAUCUACCAAGAAUUUGAUGAGCCUAAAAUCCGCAACGUAAGCUUUGAAAUUAGAAUUCAGCAAAAUAUUUUUGAUUUCACAUCUUAAUGCACAAUCAAUGGCAAUUUUGUACCUCAGAUUCCAGCUUAGGAAUUCCACUUUUCUUCCCGUGCAACACCCGCUUUUGGGUUGUAUAGCAGCCGAGGACUCGGGUUGAGGUGGCGUGUCGGAUUUUGGCGCUGGUAGGGUUUUAAUUUUCAUUCGGCCGACGUGAAGAGUAUUGGAUUUUGG